GACGUAGGGCGCGAGCGUUGUUCGGAAUUAUUGGGCGUAAAGCGCUUGUAGGCGGCACGUCAAGUCGCGUGUGAAAUCCCCAGGCUUAACCUGGGAAGUGCGCGCGAAACUGACGAGCUUGAGUGCCGGAGAGGGUCGCGGAAUUCCCGGUGUAGAGGUGAAAUUCGUAGAUAUCGGGAGGAACACCAGUGGCGAAGGCGGCGACCUGGACGGACACUGACGCUGAGACGCGAAAGCGUGGGGAGCAAACAGG
Molecule: ribosomal RNA, 253 nt
Filed under: uncultured bacterium
Lineage: Bacteria
Description: partial 16S ribosomal RNA
Rfam family: Bacterial small subunit ribosomal RNA
Source: RNAcentral